RNAcentral lists this ribosomal RNA (492 nucleotides) under uncultured bacterium. RNAcentral describes it as "partial 16S ribosomal RNA". It matches the Rfam family "Bacterial small subunit ribosomal RNA", at positions 29 to 507 of the family's 1533-position model. The record is from RNAcentral.
AUUGAACGCUGGCGGCAUGCUUUACACAUGCAAGUCGAACGGUAACAGGCCUUCGGGUGCUGACGAGUGGCGAACGGGCGAGUAAUUCAUCGGAACGUACCCAGAGGUGGGGGAUAACGCAGCGAAAGCUGUGCUAAUACCGCAUGUGAUCUGAGGAUGAAAGCGGGGGACCGAGCAGCAAUGUUUGGCCUCGCGCCUUUGGAGCGGCCGAUGUCGGAUUAGCUAGUUGGUGGGGUAAAGGCCUACCAAGGCGACGAUCCGUAGCUGGUCUGAGAGGACGGCAAGCCACACUGGGACUGAGACACGGCCCAGACUCCUACGGGAGGGAGCAGUGGGGAAUGUUGGACAACAGGCGCAAGCAUGAUCCAGCAAUGCCGCGUGCGGGAAGAAGGCCUUCGGGUUGUAAACAGCUUUUGGCAGGAACGAAACGGUGUCCGCUAAUACCGGGCGCUAAUGACGGUACCUGCAGAAUAAGCACCGGCUAACUACGUG